UGGGCAACCUGCCCUAGGGAGCGGGACAACCCGAGGAAACUCGGGCUAAUACCGCAUGAUUCGCCGGGCCUCAAGGCCCGGCGGGAAAUGGGUAGCUUCGGCCUCCGCCCUAGGAUGGGCCCGCGGCGCAUUAGCUUGUUGGUGAGGUAACGGCCCACCAAGGCGACGAUGCGUAGCUGGUCUGAGAGGACGAUCAGCCACAGUUGGGACUGAGACACGGCCCAGACCUCCCGUACGGGGAGG
RNAcentral lists this ribosomal RNA (243 nucleotides) under uncultured bacterium. RNAcentral's name for it is "partial 16S ribosomal RNA". It matches the Rfam family "Bacterial small subunit ribosomal RNA", at positions 118 to 347 of the family's 1533-position model. The record is from RNAcentral.